RNAcentral lists this ribosomal RNA (324 nucleotides) under Penicillium sp. RNAcentral describes it as "partial large subunit ribosomal RNA". It matches the Rfam family "Eukaryotic large subunit ribosomal RNA", at positions 330 to 672 of the family's 3401-position model. The record is from RNAcentral. Lineage: Eukaryota; Fungi; Ascomycota; Eurotiomycetes; Eurotiales; Aspergillaceae.
UAGACCGAUAGCGAACAAGUAGAGUGAUCGAAAGAUGAAAAGCACUUUGAAAAGAGAGUUAAAAAGCACGUGAAAUUGUUGAAAGGGAAGCGCUUGCGACCAGACUCGCCUACGGGGUUCAGCCGGUAUUCGUACCGGUGUACUUCCCCGUGGGCGGGCCAGCGUCGGUUUGGGCGGCCGGUCAAAGGCCCUCGGAAUGUAACGCCUCUCGGGGCGUCUUAUAGCCGAGGGUGCCAUGCGGCCAGCCCGGACCGAGGAACGCGCUUCGGCACGGACGCUGGCAUAAUGGUCGUAAGCGACCCGUCUUGAAACACGGACCAAGUA